This 339-nucleotide long non-coding RNA is filed under the name Homo sapiens (human). RNAcentral's name for it is "LHRI_LNC1413.1". The record is from RNAcentral. Lineage: Eukaryota; Metazoa; Chordata; Mammalia; Primates; Hominidae.
CUGGCUCACCAAGUUUGUUCCCAGACCGAACUGAGGGCCAGGCUGUUUAUUCUUGCAGCCCAAUAAUGAGAUGCAGAUGAACUGGUAAAGAAGAGAGUUUAUUCUGUAACCAGGUACAGGGAGAAGGCCAGGAAAAUGUAGCCAGACCAACUCAAAAUUACAAAGUUUUCCAGCGCUGAUAUACCUUCUAAGCUAUAUGUCUGUGUGGAAGUGUGCGUGUAUCUAAAGACAUAAGUGAUUAACCUCUUCGAAUCCAAUCCAGAGGCAGGUCUGAGUUUUGAAGACAUUUAUCUGGACCCUCAAUAAAUUUACUUAAUCUAGAUGGGUCUAGGUGCCAGC